ACCGCCACUGUUUUGAGAACUCCGGAUACUACUUUGACUCUAUUAAGUCUUUUAAAAAUCUGCUACUGAUCUCAAUUUAAACUGCUCACAUUUAAGUGCUCUGUAACUAGCGGUCUGGGGCUUCUAUACUGGACGUUACAGGUUAGUGUACCUCAGGCAGAAGAAUGUAUGUCAGGCGAGCUUCGAGAACACUUAUCGAGCCUGAAGAUCCACACGACAAAGGUGCUGUUAGCAACAUCGUCUCUUUAUUAAACCAUGACUAUGCUCCA
RNAcentral lists this long non-coding RNA (269 nucleotides) under Rattus norvegicus (Norway rat). RNAcentral's name for it is "long non-coding RNA NONRATT003281". The record is from RNAcentral. Lineage: Eukaryota; Metazoa; Chordata; Mammalia; Rodentia; Muridae.